RNAcentral lists this ribosomal RNA (392 nucleotides) under uncultured bacterium. RNAcentral describes it as "partial 16S ribosomal RNA". It matches the Rfam family "Bacterial small subunit ribosomal RNA", at positions 523 to 918 of the family's 1533-position model. The record is from RNAcentral.
AUACGGAGGAUCCGAGCGUUAUCCGGAUUUAUUGGGUUUAAAGGGUGCGCAGGCGGCCAUUUAAGUCAGCGGUUAAAUCGUGGGGCUCAACCCCAUUCUGCCGUUGAUACUGGGUGGCUUGAUUGCGGUCGAGGUUGGCGGAAUUCGUUGUGUAGCGGUGAAAUGCAUAGAUAUGACGAAGAACACCGAUUGCGUAGGCAGCUGACCAGACCGCAAAUGACGCUCAUGCACGAAAGUGCGGGGAUCGAACAGGAUUAGAUACCCUGGUAGUCCGCACAGUAAACGAUGAAUACUUGUUUUCGGCGAUAUAAUGUCGGAGGCAAAGCGAAAGCGAUAAGUAUUCCACCUGGGGAGUACGCCGGCAACGGUGAAACUUAAAGGAAUUGGCGGGG